AACGUGGGUGGUUCGCCACCGGCGACGUCGCGAGAAGUCCAUUGAACCUUAUCAUUUAGAGGAAGGAGAAGUCGUAACAAGGUUUCCGUAGGUGAACCUGCGGAAGGAUCAUUG
RNAcentral lists this ribosomal RNA (114 nucleotides) under Clematis potaninii. Its description in RNAcentral is "partial 18S rRNA". It matches the Rfam family "Eukaryotic small subunit ribosomal RNA", at positions 1719 to 1831 of the family's 1831-position model. Lineage: Eukaryota; Viridiplantae; Streptophyta; Magnoliopsida; Ranunculales; Ranunculaceae. The record is from RNAcentral.